AUUGAACGCUGGCGGCAUGCUUUACACAUGCAAGUCGAACGGCAGCGCGGGCUUCGGCCUGGCGGCGAGUGGCGAACGGGUGAGUAAUGCAUCGGAACGUGCCCAGUAGUGGGGGAUAGCCCGGCGAAAGCCGGAUUAAUACCGCUUACGACCUGAGGGUGAAAGCGGGGGACCGAAAGGCCUCGCGCUAUUGGAGCGGCCGAUGUCGGAUUAGCUAGUUGGUGGGGUAAAGGCUUACCAAGGCGACGAUCCGUAGCUGGUCUGAGAGGACGACCAGCCACACUGGGACUGAGACACGGCCCAGACUCCUACGGGAGGCAGCAGUGGGGAAUUUUGGACAAUGGGGGCAACCCUGAUCCAGCCAUGCCGCGUGCGGGAAGAAGGCCUUCGGGUUGUAAACCGCUUUUGUUCGGGAAGAAAUCCUCUGGGCUAAUACCCCGGGGGGAUGACGGUACCGGAAGAAUAAGCACCGGCUAACUACGUG
This 484-nucleotide ribosomal RNA is filed under the name uncultured bacterium. Its description in RNAcentral is "partial 16S ribosomal RNA". It matches the Rfam family "Bacterial small subunit ribosomal RNA", at positions 28 to 507 of the family's 1533-position model. The record is from RNAcentral.